UGGGGAAUCUUCCGCAAUGGACGAAAGUCUGACGGAGCAACGCCGCGUGAGUGAUGACGGUCUUCGGAUUGUAAAGCUCUGUUAAUCGGGACGAAUGGUUUGUGUGCAAAUAGUGCAUAGACAUGACGGUACCGGAAUAGAAAGCCACGGCUAACUACGUGCCAGCAGCCGCGGUAAUACGUAGGUGGCAAGCGUUGUCCGGAAUUAUUGGGCGUAAAGCGCGCGCAGGCGGACUAGCCAGUCAGUCUUAAAAGUUCGGGGCUUAACCCCGUGAUGGGAUUGAAACUACUAGUCUAGAGUAUAGGAGAGGAAAGUGGAAUUCCUAGUGUAGCGAUGAAAUGCGUAGAUAUUAGGAAGAACACCAGUGGCGAAGGCGACUUUCUGGACGAACACUGACGCUGAGGCGCGAAAGCCAGGGGAGCGAACGGG
Molecule: ribosomal RNA, 429 nt
Filed under: Verrucomicrobiota bacterium
Lineage: Bacteria; Pseudomonadati; Verrucomicrobiota
Description: Verrucomicrobia bacterium partial 16S ribosomal RNA
Rfam family: Bacterial small subunit ribosomal RNA
Source: RNAcentral